AGGGGCUGGCUGGAUUGCUGUUGGUUUUUCCCCUCCUGGUGGCUUUGCUUGGUUUGGGUUUAGUUUGGGAACAAACUUGUUUUAUAUCAACACUUCCUUCUACAUCGGGCGCCGUCGCCUCAACUGCGCGUGGGGGGCGAGGCGCCCACCCCGCACAAGAACAGAGGAGCGGGGGAGAAGAGACGGCCUCGCUGCUCACUGGGCCCCUUUGUGUGACUAAAUUUGGCAAGAAUAUGGAUCUGAGCCAGUCUUUCCACGUGUGCUCCCAGCUCCCAGCUGAGAAGGCCAAGGGUUCUCUUCCGGGAAAACCAGUUUGGCUAUUAAGGGAACCUGUCGACACAGAGCAGAGCAAGAUAAGGCCAGGUUUCAGAAAGAAUAGCUGUUUACCAUCAAAGCAACUGGGUUCCACACAGACAUGGUAUAUUAUACACAAAGACGAAGCAUUUAAUUCAGAGCUCAACACAAAUUCGAUUCCCAAUGAAGACUUCUUGAGCUAUACCGAGAGAAGAAGAUCAACAGAAGAUUUCUGGCUUUUUAUUUCGUGCUACUUUUUAAAAUCGCUCCUUCCAUAUAGAAGUCUGAGGUCACAUGGGCUUUUAGCAAGGCUAGGACAGAUCCAUUAUUAUUGUAAAUGGAAAAUGUAGAAAUUAAUACAUAUGCAAUAUGUAUAUAUUUAGAUACACCUCAUAUUGUUCAAACAAAACAAAACAAAAACCCUAAACCCUCUA
This 728-nucleotide long non-coding RNA is filed under the name Homo sapiens (human). RNAcentral's name for it is "non-protein coding LEF1-AS1:15". Lineage: Eukaryota; Metazoa; Chordata; Mammalia; Primates; Hominidae. The record is from RNAcentral.